NNNNNNNNNGUUUGUGGGUGGUGGUCUUCGUUUCCCUGAAAACGGCACGUAAGGUCGUCCCUCCGGUUUGUGUGGUUGCCGCCUUCCAUUCGCUCCCAUCAGUUGGAGGUGGGAUUGCGGUUGGGGGUGUCGGCCGUGAGCUGUGGAGGUACGCCGGGCCUUGCCUUCCGAUAUCACGUCGAGCGGGAGCACCCUUCCAAUUCAAGCAUAUAACUAAGCGGAGGAAGAGAAACCAACGAGGAUUCCCUUGGUAGCGGCGAGCGAACUGGGAAUAGCCCAGACGGAAAAUCCAGGGGCUCUGUUGCUCCCUGAAUUCUAGUCUUGAGAGGCAACCUCUGCAGCGGGCCGUGUGCAGGUUCCCUGGAAGGGGACGCCGAAGAGGGUGACAGCCCCGUCGACCGCCGGACCCUGCUAHGCAACGAGGUGUUGUCCAAGMGUCSGGUUGCUUGGGAAUGCAGCCCCAAUUGGGUGGUAAGUCCCAUCCAAGGCUAAAUAUGUGCGAGGGACCGAUAGCGAAGAAGUACCGCGAGGGAAGGAUGAAAAGAACUUUGAAAAGAGAGUUAAAGAGUGCUUGAAAUUGUCAAGCGAGAAGCGGAUGGAGGGGAAGUCGUGCGCUCCUGUCUGGGCAGGGGUGGACGGCGAAUGAUUAGAGGCCUCGGGGGUGAAACACCCUCGACCUAUUCUCAAACUUUAAAUAGGUAAGAUUUUGGGGUUGCUUAAGCAAACCCCGAGGAUCAAUGAAAGYUCCAAGUGGGCCAUUUUUGGUAAGCAGAACUGGCGAUGCAGGAUGAAUCGAAACUCGAGCUACGGUUCCAAACUGCGCGCAAACCCAGACACCACAAAGGGUGUUGAUUGAUACAGACAACAGGACAGUGGUCAUGGACGUCGAAAUCUGCUAGGAGUGUGUAACAACUCACCUGCCGAAUCAAUCAGCCCCGAAAAUGGAUGGCGCUGAAGCGCGCGACCUAUGCUCGGGCGUCGCGGCGAUUGUGACGCUGCAACGAGUAGGAGGGCGCAGGGCCUGCUGCGAAGCCUGGAGCGUGAGCCUACGUGAAGCGGGUCCCGGUGCAGAUCUUGGUGGUAGUAGCAAAUAUUCAAAUGAGAACUUUGAAGACCGAAGUGGAGAAGGGUUCCAUGUGAACAGCGCUUGGACAUGGGUCAGUCGGCCCUAAGAGAUGUGGAAACCUUGUAUCACGGGCGCACUGCGCGCCGCACAUCGAAAGGGGGUCGGGHUAAUAUUCCCGAACCGGGUUGUGGAGGUGGACGGUAAUGUAAGCAGCUCCGGAGAAGCCGGCGGGGGCCGUGGGGAGGGUUCUCUUUCCUUCUUGGCGGCUCGCCCACCCUGGAAUCGGAUCAACCGGAGAUAGGGUGCAGCGCCCGGCAAAGCACCGCGCGUCUUGUGGUGUCCAGCGUGCCCCCGACGACCCUUAAAAAUCUUGAGUUGCGGGUACCUCUCACGCCCGGCCGUACUCAUAACCGCAUCAGGUCUCCUAGGUGAGCAGCCUCUGGUCAAAGGAAGAAUAUAGGUAAGGGAAGUCGGCAAUAUGGAUCCGUAACGUUGGGAAAAGGAUUGGCUCURAGGGCUGGGCCUAGGGGUCUGCGCAUUGAUGUCGUUGGCUGCCGGUGGUCUGCCCGAGCUGCUCUCGCGGCGAGGGCGGAGCCAGCGUGCCAGUCUGCCGACGGGCGUAGAAUGUCUUAUGUCCCCACCUUUCGGGUGGGGCCGUGGGACUCUCCCUAAGCAUCAAACUGCUGACUCAGAACUGGUGCGGACAAGGGGAAUCCGMCUGUUUAAUUAAAACAAAGCAUUGCGAUGGUCCCAACAGAUGUUGACGCAAUGUGAUAUCUGCCCAGUGCUCUUAAUGUCAAAGUGAAGAGAUUCAACCAAGCGCGGGUAAACGGCGGGAGUAACUAUGACUCUCUUAAGGUAGCCAAAUGCCUCGUCAUCUAAUUAGUGACGUGCAUGAAUGGAUUGAUGAGAUUCCCACUGUCCCUAUCUACCAUCCUGCGAAACCACAGCCAAGGGAACGGGCUUGGAUGAAUCGGCGGGGAAAGAAGACCCUAUUAAGCUUGACUCAAUUCGACUCUGUGAAAGGUGUAGAAUAAGUGGGAGCCUUACGGCGCAAGUGAAAUACCACUACUUUUAACCUUAUUUUACUUAUUUCGUGAGGUGGAGCCGGGGGUCUCCCCCUGCUUCUUGAUCCAAGGUGCAGGCCCUCGUGGCGUGUCCGAUCCAAGCAAAAGACAUUGUCAGGUGGGGAGUUUGGCGGGCGCGGCACAUCUGUUAGAAGAUAACGCAGGUGUCCUAAGAUGAGCUCAACGAGAACAAAAAUCUCGUGUGGAGCAAAAGGGCAAAAGCUCAUUUGAUUUUGAUUUCCAGUACGAAUACAAACUGUGAGAGCAUGGCCUAUGGAUCCUUUAGCGUUUCAGGACUUGAAGCUAGAGGUGUCAGAAAAGUUACCACAGGGAUAACGGGCUUGUGGCAGCCAAGCGUUCAUAGCGACGUUGCUUUUUGAUCCUUCGAUGUCGGCUCUUCCUAUCAUUGUGAAGCAGAAUUCACCAAGUGUUGGAUUGUUCACCCACCAACAGGGAACGUGAGCUGGGYUUAGACCGUSGUGAGACAGGUUAGKUUUACCCUACUGAUGCACCRCCGUCGCAAUGGUAAUCCAACCCAGUACGAGAGGAACCGUUGGUUCGCACAAUUGGCAAUUGUGCUUGGCUGAAAAGCCAGCGGUGCAAAGCUACCUUGCGUGGGAUUAUGACUGAACACCUCUAAGUCAGAAUCUGUGCUUGCAGCGACGRCGUAUGCCUCCUCGGAUGACACAAGGCUGUCGAUAGGGCCAGCCSGUCUGGCCCCGAAAGCAUAAGUUCGGAGUUGUCCCUCCUGCGGCGGUGCACCGACGCCCUGGGGGUCUCUUUUU
Molecule: ribosomal RNA, 2918 nt
Filed under: Chara braunii
Lineage: Eukaryota; Viridiplantae; Streptophyta; Charophyceae; Charales; Characeae
Description: eukaryotic LSU rRNA
Source: RNAcentral